This is a long non-coding RNA of Lampris incognitus (smalleye Pacific opah), 226 nucleotides long. RefSeq lists it as uncharacterized. The record is from RefSeq and is a predicted model, not a curated record. NCBI's taxonomy places the organism in Eukaryota, Metazoa, Chordata, Actinopteri, Lampriformes, Lampridae. The transcript has 3 exons.
GGCAUCCUCUCAAGAUUGUGUUAAACUAGUUAAAAACUCCACUGCCAUGUCUCCUAAAGAUAUCCAUGCCUCCACAGAACAUCACUCCCAUGUUCCCGCCUUCAGCCAGACGAGGAGCCAGUGUUUCACCAUAACGGGAUGAUGAAGUGGAUUCCUAACCAAACUGUGCUUACUUUAUGGUGUUAGGCAUAGCAGAAGAGCCUUGGAUGAGGUCCUUUACUUCCUG